This 414-nucleotide ribosomal RNA is filed under the name Callionymus valenciennei. RNAcentral's name for it is "partial 16S ribosomal RNA". It matches the Rfam family "Bacterial large subunit ribosomal RNA", at positions 2001 to 2573 of the family's 2925-position model. The record is from RNAcentral. Lineage: Eukaryota; Metazoa; Chordata; Actinopteri; Syngnathiformes; Callionymidae.
AUCACGAGGGCUUAGCUGUCUCCUCCUCCCAAUCAAUUAAAUUGAUCUCCCCGUGCAGAAGCUGGGAUAAUACCAUAAGACGAGAAGACCCUAUGGAGCUUUAGACAUAUCAGGUUUACGUCACUGCCCCCUAGAUAAAGGAGUGAACUAAUUAUAUACCUUGAAAAUGUUUUUGGNUGGGGCGACCACGGGAAAAGAAAUAACUCCCACGGCGAAGAAGUACAAACUUUUAAAGCUAAGACAAUCAAGUCUAAGCCAUAGAAAUUCUAACAAAUGAUCCGGCUUGCCGAUCAACGAAACGAGUUACCCUAGGGAUAACAGCGCAAUCCCCUUUAAGAGACCUUAUCAGCAAGGGGGUUUACGACCUCGAUGUUGGAUCAGGACAUCCUAAUGGUGCAGCCGCUAUUAAGGGGG